Non-coding RNA from Kogia breviceps (pygmy sperm whale), 1747 nucleotides. The record is from RefSeq and is a predicted model, not a curated record. NCBI's taxonomy places the organism in Eukaryota, Metazoa, Chordata, Mammalia, Artiodactyla, Physeteridae.
GCACGCUGCUGUUCUGUCGUUUAGCCAAAGCUCUGACGCGCAUGGGCAACCCCCCACCCCUCACCAUCUGUCUUUCAGUUUUUAGGAAUGAGAGAUGAGGCACCAGAGGUCCCCAGGGAGCAAAUCUGAAAGACAGCGCCUCCUGAGCACAGUCUGCCAGGGGCGAGACGACAUUAGACAUUGUCCCCAGAUAUAAGAAGCAUCACUUUCUUCAGACAGAGCAGAUUGAUAGAUGAAACAUAAAACAAGACCAGAUGCUGUGGUUUCCAGGAUGCACUUGGCUUCCCAUCCUUUAUAACCUGGAGCAUUUUUUGCCGUAAGUAGCCCUGUAUGGACAAAGAUUCCUUCAUAUCUCCUUAGUGUUUGCAUGAGGACUUCACCUCUCAAGUUGUCAACUGUGGCAUCUUGUCUGGGAAUGUUUAUCUUCUCUGACUUGUAAAGAGGCUAUGCCUCUGUCUCUUUGACCUCUUAGUUCUCUCAUUCUCAGUUUUAAUACACCCUUCUGAGUGAGUCUUACUGAUUAGUAUUCUAUAAUCCAUUAAUGCUAGUUACAUAAAACCUGUAAGAUUCCAUCCUUGUUACCCCCCAGACAAAUAAGUUUAAAAUAUUGGUCAGUCCAUGAAAAUGACUAUCUGGAUAUUUCUCAGUUCACUGAAGAACAUCAUUAAUAUUGGCUGUCGUUCCCAUCUGUCUAAUUACAGCCAUUUAUUGAGCUUACAUUUCUUGCUCUCAUGGAGUUCUGAAGACUCAAAUGUCUUGUGAAAAUGCAAGUCUUCAUAGAACUAUUGAUUUUUUUUAAGAUAGAGGUUUAACCUAUCUUUCAUCUCCAUUCAUUAUUUGUUUUGGGAAAACUUCCUUACUUAGAUUGCCGAGUGACUUUUGCACAGAAGAAAGAAAUUAGUUCAAUGGAUGAAAGUGAGACGCUGAACCAGAUUUUAGAUUUUAGAGGCCAAUCCUUUGCAUGUCUUAUUUCUUUGCAAACUACAACCUUUUUGUUACCCUUGAGGACUAUCAUAACAUCAGAGCUGCUAUUCUUCAUACAAUAUUUAAUUCAUUUGAACAUAACAUGUUUUUAAAAAAAUAUUUACUAUGUGCAAGUCAUGGAAAUGCUCCUAAAGUUGAGGGAAUUCUCCUCAGCAAAAGAAAUGGAAUAUCCUGUUUAGAGACUGAGUGCAUGGCUUCCAAAGGCAAAGGCAAGGGCAAAACUUGCUAAUUUUAGAUGUUCAGGGAUGAAAUGUCUACUAGAGCUUGUUUCGUCUUAGAGAGGCCCAACAGUAACGUACUAGCAAGCUAAUGUUAAAUUUGCCCUCCCCACCUAUUUAUUGCCAGUGUUCCUGGAAACAGAAAAACAAAACAAAGGAGUAAGGGAAAAAUAAAAGCAAAGUCUGUGUGUAACUUGAGUUAGAGAAGUGCAGGAAACAAAUCAAAUAUACUAAGUUAGCAUUGCUCAAAGUCCCAUUCAACUUCAGAAUAGUAUACCUGGUAGAGUUUCACAAACCUUUCUCCUUUCUCGCCUGCUGCUUAUUAAGUUUAAAUGCCAGAAGCAUUCUGAGAGCUCUGAAUGCCCAUAUAAGGCCUAGAGCCAGAGACAUGCCCCAAACCCAUUUCUUUAUACUUUCUGAAUUCCCAAGUAAACGAGAGAUCAGAAAAAGGGACAGUAAAGGAAAGGAGAUAAAGAGGUCGACUCCCCAACAGUGUUUUCUUCCCCUUUGGUGUUUUGCAAAAAGCUGAAGAGAUGCUAUAAUGA